AAUCCGAGUGCCGAGCCGGCCGGGUUUGUUGAUGUUGUCGUGCGAGGUGACCUCCCCUAUAGGGUCCUCUAACGGAAUCUUCCUAGUAACAGAUCCAGCGAAUAGGCAGCUUGCAUGAGCAACUCGCAGCCAAUGAGAGCCGGCCAGUCUGAGCAGAUGUCCGAGUGUGCGAGAGAGCGCGAGAGCGUGUGAAAGCGUGCGAGAGCCAGCCAUCCUCUAACCGUUCAGAGUAUUUUUUUUUUCCCCUCGUCCACCUGGCUGGCUGCGUCCCAGGAGACACGUGAGGCGUUUCGUCGGAUGAUGAUGAUGAUGAUGAUGAUGUCCUUAAACAGACAAAAAAAAUAAAAAUAAAAAUAAAAAUUCUCUCAGCUGCGAGAGUCGUCGUUCCACUUAUGUUCAUUUCGCACAAAAUGAGAUGACAGACCAAGACCACCAGGAGCCUGAGCACUCGGCAUACAGAACAGACGAGGAUGUCCUGCUGCCACUCAGAUAAUCCCCCCCCUCUCUCUCUCAUAUGUGUGUAGGCCUGCUGCGAAACUCCUUCACGACAUCAACGACAUUCCCUCCAAUCACGCGACAUCACACCAAAUUAUAUUAUCAGACGCUGCUAAUGUGUACGUGUUUUACGUACGACAAAAGCAAGGUCUGACAGAUCCUAAAAUGAACACUAGUAAAACACACACACACACACACACACACACCCUUGAUGAAUAUUAAGACGAGAUGGACUACAGCCACGUUUCUUCCUGCUCUUAGUGAAUAACUGAAUGAGCUCCUGCAUAAACACGCCACUCAUGCAGAAAUAUUACGCAUAUAUUUAGUUCAAAAGCUCCGCUUAAAUCCAAAACGAGCUCGACAAGGUCAGCGCGCAUCACAGAAGUCGUUCGUUACGAGAAAACGCUGCACGCCUUCAUUUAGACGGAUUAAAAGCCGGGUUCACGUCUCAGACGCCGACGAUGCUACAUAUUCAUAAUCGUACAAGUUUUCCGUUGAUCUUUUCCCCCCCUCUUUAUUAUCCCAUUAUUAUAAAAGUAGAGAAGCGGCACUUUAUCCGCCGCAGGAGACAGAAACGCGUUUUAACACGUCAGACCGUACACCACGACUCGAAGCCCGAAACCUCCGUGUGAAAUAAUAACGCACGUGUUAUUAUACACCUUCUCAUUACGCGGACACGCCGCACUGCUGCAGUGUCUCAGAUCUCAUACCCGCGGACGAUUCCAGACCGUCCCGGAUCUCCACCGCUAACCGGGAAUCCCAUCACAGUCAGCGUUUCAACUGUGAAAACCUCUCGUGUCGUCCGAUCCGAGCAUCAGACUUCUGGAUUUUCUAAACGAGCAAAGACUUUGGAACAUCUCGGAAGUCGGUUUGAGACGCGGAUCAUGACGACGAUCGCGACGACAGCCGGAAGGUUUAAAGCGGUACAGAAGCUCACGCGUAGGAAGUCGCUUAACGUUUUACAGUUCUACUUGGCCACCUGACGGACAGCUACGUUCCGCUUAGAGUCUGGAGAACGCCGCAUCCGCGUGUACCUAAAGAUACGCGGCGACGCCGAUCACGCCGCCGCUACGUCUGCACGCGAUAAACAGCUGAACACUUCUCGUUAACCUGGUAAAGGCGUGUCAGGAAUAUUCCUUUUGGUUUUAAAUCACUUGUGUUGCACAUUGUGAUGUUUGUUACUGACAUCAUAAACGUUCAAAUGUUACAGUAGUCCUAUAUUAUACAUCUGGAAUUUUAACCGGGCGGUCAAGGUCAGGGGUCACAGAAACUUCAUAACUGUCCGCCCAAAAGAGUUUCACAAACAGUUUGAUCAAGAAACCGGAUUAAUAAUUUUUAAAAAACUGAACACAAAAGUAAACACCUGGAUUAAUAAUAAUAAUAAUAAUAAUAAUAAUAAUAAUAAUGCUAACGAUCCCGAACGAAUAACCGAAAGGCGCUCACGGAUGGAACGGUCGAGUCAGUUAGCAUUAGCGUGUGGUUCUCCUCGGAGAAGCGCUCUGGAGGAAAAGCUUGCUGGAGUCUGCAGUGUGAAUUCUCCUGACCAGCAAAAACUCCAGCAGCGGAGACGUUAAGAGCUAUUUAUAAUCUCAACUCCGCAGCUGGAAAGCUUAACAGCGCUACAGAGGAUAUCAACCUGAGCCCAGGUGUAGGGGUGUGUGUGUGUGUGUGUGUGUGUGUGUGUGUGUAGGAUGCGACUGGGGAUCAUCACAUGACCUAACGAAGCACGAGGUUGAAAGUAAAAAUGUCAAUUCAUUUCAUUUUAAGUUCGUUCGUAAAACACGCCUCACAGAAAUGGUCAUAAUGCAGUUUUACAGAAAUCCAGACGACUCAAAUAAAAUACACAAAAGAACUCGCAGGUCAUCUCGACAAACUUACUGAGUUUUUAACCAUUUAAGAUGAGAUUUUUAGGGCUGCCCCCUGAUAGUCGACUAAAAUGUCAUUUUAUCAUCGUUCAUCUGUCGGUCCGUCGCAGAAAAAACAAACAACAACAACAAAAACACCUCCACAGUGGAGGGAAAGUUGGCCGACACGGCUCGCCCGGCCGCUCCACCUGCUAAUGACGACGUCGGGAAGAAAAACAACAAAAAAG
Molecule: long non-coding RNA, 2587 nt
Organism: Ictalurus punctatus (channel catfish)
Lineage: Eukaryota; Metazoa; Chordata; Actinopteri; Siluriformes; Ictaluridae
Source: Ensembl